GGGGAUGUAGCUCAGAUGGUAGAGUGCUCGCUUAGCAUGUGAGAGGUAUGGGGAUCAAUACCCUGCAUCUCUA
This 73-nucleotide transfer RNA is filed under the name Ipomoea nil (Japanese morning glory). It matches the Rfam family "tRNA". From Rfam's summary of the family: Transfer RNA (tRNA) molecules are approximately 80 nucleotides in length. Their secondary structure includes four short double-helical elements and three loops (D, anti-codon, and T loops). Lineage: Eukaryota; Viridiplantae; Streptophyta; Magnoliopsida; Solanales; Convolvulaceae. The record is from Rfam by way of RNAcentral.